UACGAAGGGUGCAAGCGUUACUCGGAAUUACUGGGCGUAAAGCGUGCGUAGGUGGUUGUUUAAGUCUGUCGUGAAAGCCCUGGGCUCAACCUGGGAAUUGCGAUGGAAACUGGGCGACUAGAGUGUGGCAGAGGAUAGUGGAAUUCCUGGUGUAGCAGUGAAAUGCGUAGAGAUCAGGAGGAACAUCCGUGGCGAAGGCGACUGUCUGGGCCAACACUGACACUGAGGCACGAAAGCGUGGGGAGCAAAC
This 250-nucleotide ribosomal RNA is filed under the name uncultured bacterium. RNAcentral describes it as "partial 16S ribosomal RNA". It matches the Rfam family "Bacterial small subunit ribosomal RNA", at positions 524 to 773 of the family's 1533-position model. The record is from RNAcentral. RNAcentral also lists the same sequence under 1 other name.